GUACGUGGAAACGUGCUCAUACAUACAACUCAACAACCAGACAAAAACCCUCGCACACAGGGGCACAUGUAAUUGAAGUAUUCGAAAAACAGAAAAAAAGACAUAAUAAAAAACAAAAGACGACGAGGCAUGAAAAGCAAAAGAAGCAGAUGCUGCCUAAGCUUGUCUUUCAGUUUCUCGGAUGUGUAGUGUGCAUUUUGUGAACAGCGAAAAGAACAUCAUGAAAACAAGGCGGUAAAGGGUUAAGAAGCCGAGAUUACCCUAUGAGCAAAAACUAUCUUAUUAUAAAAGAGUAUCUGAAGGAUGUGCCAUGGAAUUCGUGCUAAUGACAAAUACAAACAGGAAUUGUUUUUUCGGGCGAAUAAUGCAAAUGAGUUAACUGACCUUCACAGUUGAGCGUAGAGAAUUCUGCCAUUCAGUUAGUUUUUACUUGGGUGCGGCCACAAAAUUAACAACUUUUGGAGGCUGAGAGACACAACAAAAGAAAGCUGCGGAAUUUUAGCAAUGCGGCCAACGAUGGAUGGCCAAUGAUCUCCGCACCUCCUCCUCCACCGCCUCCCCCCCCACAUAAAAGCCAGCUAGACAACAAACAGCUUUUCCUCCAACUCAAACUCAAAUAUACCGUGAUCACUCAACAGGUGGCCUUUGGAUUUCAGGUGGAUUUACUAAACGAGUUUUGACUUUGGAGUCAACUAUUCACAAUGUAAUUAGGCACUAAAGAUACCUGCUUCCCUUAGAAAUUGUCUAAUGGGUUCAUUCUACUAUGGUUUUCCUUUCAUAAACAUGAUUUUCUUUAUUAGAACUGAUACAAUUAACUUUUAAAAUUAAAAUUCAUACAAAUUGACCUCUAAAAUGCCAUUAAAAAUUAUUUGAAAAUUUCAACAACCCAGCGAUGACUGUAUCUCACUUUUUAAGCACGCGGUCAGCGUCAGGUGUAGAUAAAAGUAAGCUUAUGCACCUGAUAAAACAUUUAAUUUAUAUACACAAACACACACAGACAUUGCAGAGAAAAGCAAAAGCAAACUCCACAAAAAAUGGCUUAAUAAAAUGCUGAAAAUGUACGUUAAUAUGCACUACUCUAUCAUUUGAGAAAUUAAAAAGCGAAUUUAAAUGCAUUGAGACACGCGCGCAAGUUGGCAGCGGCGCAGCUCAGCGAUCGCAUGCCAUGGGCGUCCGUCCCCCCUUAUCCGCCCCCCUUCCGGCGGCACAGAAACCCGACCCAUAA
Long non-coding RNA from Drosophila suzukii, 1225 nucleotides. RefSeq lists it as uncharacterized. The record is from RefSeq and is a predicted model, not a curated record. NCBI's taxonomy places the organism in Eukaryota, Metazoa, Arthropoda, Insecta, Diptera, Drosophilidae.